This 465-nucleotide ribosomal RNA is filed under the name uncultured bacterium. Its description in RNAcentral is "partial 16S ribosomal RNA". It matches the Rfam family "Bacterial small subunit ribosomal RNA", at positions 338 to 795 of the family's 1533-position model. The record is from RNAcentral.
ACUACGGGUGGCAGCAGUGGGGAAUUUUGCGCAAUGCUCGUAAGAGUGACGCAGCGACGCCGCGUGAAUGACGAAGGCCUUCGGGUCGUAAAGUUCUUUCGACAGGGAAGAAAAUGCCUAUAAGUAACUGUGUAUGUAUUGACGGUACCUGUAUAAGCAGCCCCGGCUAACUCCGUGACAGCAGCCGCGGUAAUACGGGGGGGGCGAGCGUUGUUCGGAGUGACUGGGCGUAAAGAGCACGUAGGCGGUGUUGUAAGUCAUUAGUCAAAGACUAGAGCUCAACUUUAGUAAGGCUAGUGAUACUAUAAUACUAGAGUAUCAGAGAGGAGUGCAGAAUUCCUGGUGUAGCGGUGAAAUGCGUAGAUAUCAGGAGGAAUACCGUUAGCGAAGGCGGCAAUCUGGCUGGAAACUGACGCUGAGGUGCGAAAGCGUGGGUAGCAAACAGGAUUAGAUACCCGUGUAGUC